GCCAGGUGCGGUGGCAUGUGCCUGUAAUCCAAGUCACUGGGAGGCUGAGGUUGGUGGAUCAAGUGAGCUGAGGAGCUCUGGGCUGCAGCACACUAUGUGGAACGGGUGUCCACGCUAAGUUCGGUAUCGAUAUGGUGUUCCUGGGGGAGCCCGGGACCACCAGGUUGUCUAAGGAGUGGUGAACCGGCCCAGGUCGGAAACGAAGCAGGUCAAAUCCCCCGUGCUGUCCAGUAGUGGGAUAAUACCUGUGAGUAGAUGCUGCAGUGCAGCCUUGGCGAAACAUCGAGACCUAAUCUUUC
Molecule: signal recognition particle RNA, 299 nt
Filed under: Oncorhynchus kisutch (coho salmon)
Lineage: Eukaryota; Metazoa; Chordata; Actinopteri; Salmoniformes; Salmonidae
Description: Metazoan signal recognition particle RNA (ENSOKIG00005032650.1)
Rfam family: Metazoan signal recognition particle RNA
About the family: The signal recognition particle (SRP) is a universally conserved ribonucleoprotein. It is involved in the co-translational targeting of proteins to membranes. The eukaryotic SRP consists of a 300-nucleotide 7S RNA and six proteins: SRPs 72, 68, 54, 19, 14, and 9.
Source: Rfam by way of RNAcentral